This 537-nucleotide ribosomal RNA is filed under the name uncultured bacterium. RNAcentral describes it as "bacterial SSU rRNA". It matches the Rfam family "Bacterial small subunit ribosomal RNA", at positions 774 to 1297 of the family's 1533-position model. The record is from RNAcentral.
AGAAAAUAGAUACCCUGGUAGUCUACGCCGUAAACGAUGCGCACUAGGUUCGAGGGCUACUGACGGCACUCGAGCCGAAAAACAAAAAAGCGAUAAGUGCGCCGCCUGGGGAGUACGGCCGCAAGGCUAAAACUCAAAGGAAUUGACGGGGGCUCACACAAGCGGUGGAGCAUGUGGAUUAAUUCGAAGCAACGCGAAGAACCUUACCUGGGUUUGACAUGCACGGAUGGUCUCGGGGAAACCUGAGUAAUCUGCCUUCGGGUGAAACGUGCACAGGUGCUGCAUGGCUGUCGUCAGCUCGUGCUGUGAAGUGUCGGGUUUAAGUCCCUUAACGAGCGAAACCCUUGUCGCUAGUUGCCAGCGGGUCAUGCCGGGAACUCUAGUGAGACUGCCGGCGUUAAGCCGGAGGAAGGUGGGGACGACGUCAAGUCAUCAUGGCCUUUAUGCCCAGGGUGUCACACGUGCUACAAUGGGGCGUACAGAGCGAAGCAAAGCCGCAAGGUAGAGCAAAUCGCAGAAAGCGUCCCUCAGUUCGGA